GUGAUGAUGGUGAUGAUGAUGGGGAUGAUGAUGGACGAGCCGACGCCAUGUCACUCUUACAGUAACUCACUGCUGAUGUGAGCAAGUGCAGAUUCAGCCUUUAAUUAGUUUCUCUCCCCAGCUUGCGGGCAGCAAUGAUUCUCACCCUGCCGUUUGUCACGCUAAUAUACGAUCGGCUACAUAUCGCAGAUAUUAGGAUCAUGAACGUGAUGCAUGGCAGGACGCGGAACAUCACUGCACGGCGGAGUGAAGUGACGGCUGACGAGCGGAGCGGAGAUACAGCCGCACUGGCGUAUCAUAAUCCAUACACGAUCGUAUGGAGGGCAUGAGGAGAGCCAGAGCCUGUCCUGUCAAUCACUCACGGCUGAGCGAAACACCUGCGAGACGCAGACAGACAGAGACAGCCAGACAGAAAGACACACACACACUCGCGGAUACACACAAAUUACAGUCUCAUGAGUGUUUAAUUGGCCGGAGGCGGGCCGGAGGCCGAGGCAGAGAGCUGUCACUACGUGUCACGCUGAACGGAGGCCCGCACUCGUUCUCCGGGCGAGAGUCCUUCGCUUGAUGGAGCUGCUGCAGCUGAAUAACGACAACAUGGCCUGGUGUUGUUCACUGAGAGGAGCGCAGAAGUCCCAGAUUCCACCCGGAAACAUGCCGGCCUUCUUCCUGUGUGUGAUCACCUUCACUCCUGUCCCACUGCGUCUGUUUAAGCUCAUUCUGCACCCGCCUUCCUCCCCGUACGCUCCCUUUUCUCCUCUCCUCUCCUUUCAUUUCAUUUCCUUUCCUUUCCUUUCAUUUCAUUUCAUUUCCUUUCAUUUCCUUUCCUUUCCUUCCUUUCCUUUCCUUUCCUUU
Molecule: long non-coding RNA, 855 nt
Organism: Ictalurus punctatus (channel catfish)
Lineage: Eukaryota; Metazoa; Chordata; Actinopteri; Siluriformes; Ictaluridae
Source: Ensembl